UACGGAGAAUGCGAGCGUUAUCCGGAUUUAUUGGGUUUAAAGGGUGCGUAGGCGGACUGUCAAGUCAGCGGUAAAAUUGAGAGGCUCAACCUCUUCCCGCCGUUGAAACUGGUGGUCUUGAGUGGAUGAGAAGUACGCGGAAUGCGUGGUGUAGCGGUGAAAUGCAUAGAUAUCACGCAGAACUCCGAUUGCGAAGGCAGCGUACCGGCAUCCAACUGACGCUGAGGCACGAAAGCGUGGGGAUCAAACAGG
Molecule: ribosomal RNA, 252 nt
Filed under: uncultured bacterium
Lineage: Bacteria
Description: partial 16S ribosomal RNA
Rfam family: Bacterial small subunit ribosomal RNA
Source: RNAcentral